CAUGGAUAAGUCCAACCUAGACCUAGAAUAACCUCAGGGGCUCGGUAAUGUCUUGUGGAAACAAUGGAGCUAUGGUUUUGAUUAUCAAAUGCAGUACUACCAAAAUCAAUCAGCUUAAUGGCACUUGACUUUGGCAAGCACCUGAAAUGCGUUUCAUCUGAAGAAUUUUUCUUGCAGCCCGGGACCUUUAUAUAUUCAGAAGACACAAGAAGUAUAUUUUCUGGCUUCAGGUCAGUAUGAAUUAGGCGUAAAUCAUGCAUAUCUGCCAGAUAUGAUAAAUCAUAUAAAAGAUGUUACACAAUGGGGAUGAAAUAUCAAAAGCAAUCCUGCCCCUGGAUAAAGAAUACAGGCUAAGAAACAGAAUGGAGAGAUUGAUCAGGAUAGAUGAGAAUGUAAUAAAACAGUAUGCAAGAACAAUCCACACACAUGCUACAGAUUCCAAUAGCUGACGUCCAAAUUCCCGAACAAGAUCCACAGGGAAUGGGCAGUAUUUAUUUCUCUUUAGAAAAUCAAAUAAACUUGGUCCAAGCUUCUCAAAUACCUGGUAACAUCAUUAAAAUGCAUUCAAAGGAAGGUUUCUGUUUAGUUCUCAGCUUGCUGAAUGAAGUCAAUGUCAACAAAUCGCAUUUAAACUAACCCUACUGAUUAAACAAAUAUAUUACAUCUUACAUUAUCUUAACGAACCAAUCCAGUAAAAGCUCUAGAAGAGAAAGAAAAAAAGUCAAAAAGAAAUGAGGGCCAUGCACAUUUAGGCAUAUAUUACAAUAAUUAACAAGAGCAACCACAGAGAAAUGAGACAAAUUUACUCCAAAAAUGAUAGUAGGGAUAGUUUUUAAAGUGGAGAUCAAUUAGAAUCCAGCACCUUCUUAGGCAUUAAAAGCAAAACCGACUACUGAAUCCAUUACAAUAUUCCUAAGAAAAAGACUGGCAACAAUAAAAGAAAUUAGAACAAAAUGACAGGCGCCAUUGGAAUACUUACAAUACAAAUGUGAUUGCGGUAAUCAAACCAGUUUUGAAUCUGCACGCAGCUGUAUGAGGGAAAUAACAUGCAGGACAAUGAGAAAAUGUGGCAGGUUGAGUGAAGAUAUGCAGAAGCAACUAUUCUAUCAACUGAAACCCAGAAAAUAUGAGUGAAGAUAUGAACAAGCAACUAUGUUGUCAACUGAAAUCCAGAAAAUAUGUACCGUGAGCCACUAGCUUUAUCAUUUUUAGCAAGAUGAUGAAGUAUGUCAACUUCAAUCAUGGCUGCAUCACGAUAUUUACUUAUGCUACGAACUACUUUGAUAGCCACAUACUCCCGUGUUUGACGAUCCCAACAUUCCAAAACUCGGCCAAAAGUGCCUACAACACUAGCAAUUUGCUGAGUAGUACAAGCAGAGUCACAAAAAUUUACGAUCUUGUAUAUAGCAUUAGCACUUGGCUGCUAACCUUCACCCAUCUUGCUGAGUAUUUUAUAUCGUGGAGUUAGAUUCUCCCCAAGAUUAAACACGUAAUGCCCCUCACGAUCGUCGUCCCUUUUCGGUGGUGAGGCAUGCCUUGAGGCCCUUUCGUUUCCAGUCACCACCAGAGCUCUUUGCGCCUACAGACAUCCAGCAAACAAAACCACGCCCAGCUAAGUUAGAUAGCCCGAACAUUGAUUAAUUCUUAUCCAUCCAAAAACCCUAAAACUAUAGCACAAUCCUUUGUGCUCGCUCGCAGUUCGAGACUCGUGAACCCUCUCUAAGAAAACCCUAACCCUAGCCCGAAUUGAAGACCCGCAAACUAACCCACCUCUAGUUCAGAUGGGCCCACGUCCCAAGCGAGGCGAGGCCGUUUCCUGAUUCGCUCCUUUUUCAUUUUCUCAACUUCCGCCACCAUACUCAACCAAGCAAGCAAGCAAAUGAUCUCACUGUUCGAGCUACAAAGACAUCUGCAACACAAAUUUCUAAGACAUUGAAGAAAAUUAGGGUUUUGCUGUUGAGACAAGACUUGGGAGGUAAGGGUCGAGAAAAGAAUAGUUAAUGUUCCUGA
This 2010-nucleotide unclassified non-coding RNA is filed under the name Hevea brasiliensis (rubber tree). Lineage: Eukaryota; Viridiplantae; Streptophyta; Magnoliopsida; Malpighiales; Euphorbiaceae. The record is from RNAcentral.